RNAcentral lists this ribosomal RNA (850 nucleotides) under Halobacillus trueperi. Its description in RNAcentral is "bacterial SSU rRNA". It matches the Rfam family "Bacterial small subunit ribosomal RNA", at positions 56 to 872 of the family's 1533-position model. Lineage: Bacteria; Bacillati; Bacillota; Bacilli; Caryophanales; Bacillaceae. The record is from RNAcentral.
UGCAAGUCGAGCGCGGGAAGCGAGCUGAUCCCUUCGGGGUGACGCUCGUGGAACGAGCGGCGGACGGGUGAGUAACACGUGGGCAACCUGCCUGUAAGAUCGGGAUAACUCCGGGAAACCGGGGCUAAUACCGGGUAAUACUUUCUUUCGCAUGAAGGAAAGUUGAAAGAUGGCUUCUCGCUAUCACUUACAGAUGGGCCCGCGGCGCAUUAGCUAGUUGGUGAGGUAACGGCUCACCAAGGCGACGAUGCGUAGCCGACCUGAGAGGGUGAUCGGCCACACUGGGACUGAGACACGGCCCAGACUCCUACGGGAGGCAGCAGUAGGGAAUCUUCCGCAAUGGACGAAAGUCUGACGGAGCAACGCCGCGUGAACGAUGAAGGUCUUCGGAUCGUAAAGUUCUGUUGUUAGGGAAGAACAAGUACCGUGCGAAUAGAGCGGUACCUUGACGGUACCUAACGAGGAAGCCCCGGCUAACUACGUGCCAGCAGCCGCGGUAAUACGUAGGGGGCAAGCGUUGUCCGGAAUUAUUGGGCGUAAAGCGCGCGCAGGCGGUUCCUUAAGUCUGAUGUGAAAGCCCACGGCUCAACCGUGGAGGGUCAUUGGAAACUGGGGAACUUGAGGACAGAAGAGGAGAGUGGAAUUCCACGUGUAGCGGUGAAAUGCGUAGAUAUGUGGAGGAACACCAGUGGCGAAGGCGACUCUCUGGUCUGUUUCUGACGCUGAGGUGCGAAAGCGUGGGUAGCAAACAGGAUUAGAUACCCUGGUAGUCCACGCCGUAAACGAUGAGUGCUAGGUGUUAGGGGGCUUCCACCCCUUAGUGCUGAAGUUAACGCAUUAAGCACUCCGC